AGCUGCGGCAGCGACACUGUGUGUUGUUGGGUAGGGGAGCGUUCUGUAAGCCUGUGAAGGUGUGUCGUGAGGCAUGCUGGAGGUAUCAGAAGUGCGAAUGCUGACAUAAGUAACGAUAAAGCGGGUGAAAAGCCCGCUCGCCGGAAGACCAAGGGUUCCUGUCCAACGUUAAUCGGGGCAGGGUGAGUCGACCCCUAAGGCGAGGCCGAAAGGCGUAGUCGAUGGGAAACAGGUUAAUAUUCCUGUACUUGGUGUUACUGCGAAGGGGGGACGGAGAAGGCUAUGUUGGCCGGGCGACGGUUGUCCCGGUUUAAGCGUGUAGGUGUG
Molecule: ribosomal RNA, 327 nt
Filed under: Salmonella enterica subsp. enterica serovar Newport
Lineage: Bacteria; Pseudomonadati; Pseudomonadota; Gammaproteobacteria; Enterobacterales; Enterobacteriaceae
Description: bacterial LSU rRNA
Rfam family: Bacterial large subunit ribosomal RNA
Source: RNAcentral